RNAcentral lists this transfer RNA (90 nucleotides) under Ruthenibacterium sp. RNAcentral describes it as "tRNA-Ser". It matches the Rfam family "tRNA". From Rfam's summary of the family: Transfer RNA (tRNA) molecules are approximately 80 nucleotides in length. Their secondary structure includes four short double-helical elements and three loops (D, anti-codon, and T loops). Further hydrogen bonds mediate the characteristic L-shaped molecular structure. tRNAs have two regions of fundamental functional importance: the anti-codon, which is responsible for specific mRNA codon recognition, and the 3' end, to which the tRNAs corresponding amino acid is attached (by aminoacyl-tRNA synthetases). tRNAs cope with the degeneracy of the genetic code in two manners: having more than one tRNA (with a specific anti-codon) for a particular amino acid; and 'wobble' base-pairing, i.e. permitting non-standard base-pairing at the 3rd anti-codon position. RNAcentral also lists the same sequence under 7 other names. The record is from RNAcentral. Lineage: Bacteria; Bacillati; Bacillota; Clostridia; Eubacteriales; Oscillospiraceae.
GGAGAUGUACUCAAGUGGUGACGAGGCUCCCCUGCUAAGGGAGUAGGUCGGGAAACCGGCGCGAGAGUUCAAAUCUCUCCAUCUCCGCCA